AGGAAGUAAAAGUCGUAACAAGGUUUCCGUAGGUGAACCUGCGGAAGGAUCAUUAUUGAAUGAAUGUAGAGUUGGUUGUCGCUGACCUGUAAUCGGGUAUGUGCACACCUUCUCUUUCAUCCACACACACCUGUGCACCUGUGAGACGGAGACUUAUUCCUCGCAAGAGGGRGGRGGUUUCCGUCUGCAACUAUACAAACUCAUAGAAUAAAUCUGAAUGUAAUUGAUGUAACGCAUCUUUAAACUAAGUUUCAACAACGGAUCUCUUGGCUCUCGCAUCGAUGAAGAACGCAGCGAAAUGCGAUAAGUAAUGUGAAUUGCAGAAUUCAGUGAAUCAUCGAAUCUUUGAACGCACCUUGCGCUCCUUGGUAUUCCUUGGAGCAUGCCUGUUUGAGUAUCAUGAAAUUAUCAAAACAAAUCUUUUGUUCAUUCGAUCGAUUUUGUUUUGGACUUGGAGGUCUGCAGAUUCACGUCUGCUCCUCUCAAAAACAUUAGCUGGAUCUCAGUAAGCUCGGUUCCACUCGGCGUGAUAAGUAUCACUCGCUGAGGACACCCCGUAAAAAAAGGUGGCCGGAUUUGCAGAUGAACCGCUUCUAAUGGUCCGUUAGCUCGGACAAACCAUACUUUAUGAUCUGAUCUCAAAUCAGGUAGG
Molecule: ribosomal RNA, 652 nt
Filed under: Ceratobasidium sp. PDD 95792
Lineage: Eukaryota; Fungi; Basidiomycota; Agaricomycetes; Cantharellales; Ceratobasidiaceae
Description: eukaryotic LSU rRNA
Rfam family: 5.8S ribosomal RNA (bases 247-400)
Source: RNAcentral